UCGACUUAUUGUUGAAUGAACACGUUUCCAUUCAAUAGCAUUAUCAUCCUAAGACUGCAAAAAUUGAAAUGAAUCGUUUAGUUAUAUGUCUUUUAAAAAUUAAAUAUCAAAACUUUUAUCGUAAAAAGAUCAAUAAUGUACGGAGAUAAGAAAUGGUACCUCAAACAUAUCAAAUUAUAACAAAACUUCAUGAUAAACAAUAUUUGUUGUGGACUUGUCAGUUAAUUCACAAAGAAGUAUGCAUGAGCGGGAAGAACUUGUGCAUCUUGACAGAGCUACAUAUAGUUGACCGUGACUAAAUACUGGCGUACGUAAAUCUACCCCAACAAAUUUGACAAAUUGGCCCUGUGAUUUAUUCAUUGUCAUUGCAUAUGCUAACCUCACUGGGAAUUGUCUUCUUGUCAUUUUAAUACUUAACUCAAACAAAGGAGUCAAAGAAAUUCUUGGAAUGAAUACCAAGUCGCCAUGCUUAUCACCAGUUAAAAUCUUUUCUUCAGUACUAAAGCACCACACUUGACUAUGAUAAGUCUAGUACCAUUACAAAGGCCAUCUUUUGGUGCAAUGUUCCUUAGAAGCAUUAUUGGACAACCUUCUUUUAAAUCUAAUUUGAACGGUGGUAGUCUAGGGGGAUUGAGUGUGUUCAAAUACUCAUUCGGGUACCGAUGCAUAAUAGUCUGAUCCACGUCAUCAUCUUCAACCAUUUUGUCAACAACAGAGUAUGUAUGCAUUUCUCCCGAAAAAACCGCCAACGCAGCUAGGUUGAUAUCAUUGACAUCAUCAUUUCCAGCAGAUAGAAUUGUGCGCUCUUUUAAGAAUUCGGGAGUGACCUUACGUAGUACUUCUAUCUUUGGGCAGAUGGUCGAGAUCAGAUUAUCUACACUUUAAGUUAUUUUUAUUGAAUCUGGAAGUUAUAUAGAUUCUUGAGGGUUAGACCCAAUCUACAUAUUAAUGAAGGAUUAGUAAAUUAUCAAAUAUUCUCGACGAUAUAUAGAUGUCAGUAUGAAUAAAGAUACAAAUACUCAAACCUCAUUAAGAAAAGCCGAGAAAUCAAAUAAUAUAGAUUGGUCAUCGUGUAAGUGCAUGUUAACUUGUAAAGUCAAGACAUGUAUAUCUUUCAAAAAGAAAAGAACGUCGUAGUGAUGCUGCCACUAUAUGCUCGCGAAGACCUCUAGGUAUAGCAAGAAGAAUUUGCCUAAAAUCCCCCAAGAACAACAGUAAUAGCUCCAAAUGGUUGUGAGUUAUCAUGAAUAUCUUGUAAGGUCUGUUUAACUGCUUCAACACAAUGACGAUGCUACAUUGGAACCUCAUCUCAUAUAAUUAGUCUACCCUUCCGAAAUAAUUCUGAGUGUGAUGAUUGCUUCAUGAAUCCACAAACUGAAUUUUCUAAUACGUUAAGUGGAAUGCAGAAUGUUGAAUGUGCAGUACGUCCCCCAUGUAACAACCCAUAAGCAAUUCCGGAGGAUGCUACUGUAGUUACUAUAUCGCAUAAGGAACAACAUUUUUUUGGCAAUUAUAUUAUAGAGAAAAGUCUUUCCAGUUCCUGCGCCCCCACUCAAAAAGAAGGUUGUUCCUCUAUUUUCAUAAACAGAUGAAAUGAUUGCAUUAUAAGCCAUACACUGACCUUCAUUUAGUAGAUCAAUGUUUUGCUGGACAUUUAUUUGAUCGACUUCAAUAUGUAACUGCCUAUGCUCCCAUAUAUGUUGAUUGCCAAUGAUAAUUCUCCAAUUAACAUAUAGUAGUGGCAUUGGUGGGAAAUCUGAUAAGCUCUUCCCUGAUUCUUGAAGCAAAUGAUUAAUAAGGUAUAAACCAUAAUCACAAAUUUGAGCAUUAGUAGGAACAUAAAUGCCAUAGCAUGCACUUAUUUUGUGUGAUAAAUCAUCACAAAUAUGCAUAGAAAAUUGGUUCCACAACGCUUCUGGAUUUAAAAGAGAGCAUUGCGUCAAGAUAAUAGAAAACAAUCUUCUUAAUUGAGAUCAUGUUCUCAUCAUUGAUGCUUCUCUAAGACAUUGAAUCCACUCUUCAUCGUCUUCUAAAAGGCCUUUUGCAAUACAUGUUGCCUUAUAUGUGGGGUGUACAACAUUAUCAACUGUUUUUAAACAUUGAAAAGAUUGAGGUCCCUCUACAACCGUCAACAGAAGACGAAGAUAAAACCUUUCACCUUCAUUUGGACUGGUAAAAUACAUUCUUCUGAUUACAAAUCCCCUUUGUCUCUCUGUCCAGAGUUGUUCUUUCUUUUGCCAAACGAAAUGUUUUGGAAAUUUUUGGUAUGUGAGAGUUCGAGCUAAAUCAUUAGUAGACACUAAUACAAAAUCAUAAAAAGACAAUACUUAAAAGAUGACGUUUUUAUAAAAGACAUGUUUUUUUAUAACAUUUUUUAACAAAAUGUUAUAGAUACAUAUAAAAAAAUGUUAUGUAUUUAUAAGAGAAAUUUUUGAUUUUAAAUAGAUAACGUUUUAAAAAAAAAACGUUAUGUAUGUAAAAAACACGGAGCAAAAAAUAAAAACACGAAACUACAAAUUUGAAAUUAAAUCUAGGACAUAGUUCUUUAGAUCUACUUUCUCCUCUCUCCUAUCUCUGUACUUUCUCUCUCUACGAUGGUGCCUUGCUCUCCUACGAUCCAAACCUUCGGCUACCACCCACUUCUCUCUCCUUCUCGCCAACUUCUCCUCACCACUUCGCCGUCACUCACUCCGUAACCGUCUCCAUUUUUCUCAUCGGAAAGCCUAACACCCAAAGCCACCAUCUCCGCCUUCAAAGAUACAACCACAUCCACCUCUUUCCGCUCGAACGGAUGCCUACUCGCCGCCGGAUCCCACUCAGGUCUGUUUCAAGUCUUCGACGCCAAGUCCCGAUUACCCCUCAAGAAACUCCGUGGUCACUCCCGCCCUGUUCAUGUAGUUAAGUACCCUCGCCUCGAUAAGCUUCACCUCCUCUCCGGCGCUGACGAUGCCGUUGUCAAGUACUGGGACGUGGCGCUGGUGGUGCGAACCAGUUUAUGACGACAUCGUUGUAUGUUGGAGAUUUGGACUUCAAUGUGACUGACUCGCAGCUGUAUAAUCUGUUUAACCAAGUGGGUCAGGUUGUUUCGGUUAGGGUUUGUAGGGACUUGAGUACCGGUCGAUCUAUGGGCUAUGGUUAUGUCAACUAUAGCAAUUCGCAAGAUGGUCAGUUGAUUUUGUCUCAAAUCCCUCUAAUUUAUGUGUUUUUGUUAAUUUGAUGAUAAAUUGUUAUGUUCUGUUAUAUUAAUAUUGUUGUUGUCUAUGGAAAUGUGGAUGUUUUUUUUUCCUCUUUUUAACAAUUAAUAUACAUAAUUACAAUCCGGCUAUGCCAUAGGCUUACAAUUGGGAAUUGUGAAAUGUUUUGAAUUUGUAAUCAGUUGGGUGUUUGUUUUUGUAUGUAGGAUGAUAAAUGUUUUGUUUUCCUUUUUUGGAUUUUGUAGCUUUUGAUUUAGAACUAAGUUGCAUGGUGGGAGCCUAGUUAUGUCAGACCAGGAAAGGCUGCUUUGUGAAAUUGGAAAAGUACUUGAAUUAAGUCAUUAUUUAGUUUUCCUAGACCUGGUUACCUCUCUUUGCAUAAUGUUUGAAUUUUGUCUAAUAAAGUUUAUAUCUUGGGACAAGCUUUCACUAGUUUAAAUUUAUGUGUUUAGGUUCUUUUAUGCUGUUAAGUAUAUGUGAUCCUGUAAUUCUUUGUGCAUUGACAUGUCCAAUGGAAGAAUGAUUGAUUGGUUUUCAUAGGAAAAUGGCCUUACUACAUGGUUGCUGAUGCAGAGAAUUUUUGGUUUAACAGCCCAGUUUUGUUAAUGGAAAUAAGAUUUUAACCAUAUACCAUUAUAUGAUCAUAAAAUAAAAAAUAAAGAAGGCCUACUAAUUUGUUUAUACAUUUACGAAUUGUUAAAUUGUUUGUUGCAUAUCCCAAGUUCGCUCUCAUCAGGAUGGGUUCAGAUGCAAACCAUUCAUCAUAUGCAUCUUGUUGUUUUUGGACUUAGAGAUGCAGUCACUAUUCCAAAUUAUUUCACAACUGUUUAUAUAGUAACAUUUUUAGUUCAAUUUGCUUUCAGCGGCUAGGGCGAUGGAUGUUUUGAACUUUACCCCACUGAAUAGCAAGAUUAUUCGAGUUAUGUAUUCUCACCGGUACCCCAGUAUUCGGAAGAGCGGAGCGGCAAAUAUAUUUAUCAAGGUACUAAUUAAUCACUGACAGCCUUGUGUGUUUCAAUCUAUAAAAAUCACCAUCUCACUUAUGGAAUGCUUUGUGUCUAUCUGGGAUUCAUGUAAAAUGUAGAUUAGGACACUUUGCUUGUCAGAAUGGAUGUUGCUUCUUUCCGCUUUUAGUUUUCCCAUCUAUGCCAUUUCAACAAUUAUGUCUAUAGGUGUAUCCUUCACAAGUAGGUAGAUUCUACUCUAAUACUCGAUAAGAUUCAGGGUAUAAUUUCUCCUUUAUUGAGGAUUGCUGGAAGAUGAUAAACCGUAGCAGUAGUUUGAUCAACUGUUGGGUACUUCUUAGGAGUAUCUUUUAGUCUUCUUGGAUUUCUUUUCAAGAUGAGAAGUUUUGCAAUUUUAUUCAUUAGUUUUAGAACUAUCCUUAUCGUAUUGUUAUGUUUUGAUGCAUCUGAUUUAAAACCUUUUUGCAUGUUUCGGAACUGUGUGCAUAUGUCCAGGUGGUGUGCAUAUGCCGUGUUCAGAAGGAUGUAUGGCAUUAGGUAUAGUUUUUGGUAAAAUAGCAACUAUCAGUAACUGAACCUAAGCAGUCAAAAUGGCUUUAAUGUGUGCAUGUGUUUGAGCAGUCUAUACAUGCUGUACUUGGUAGCCAUUUGGUCUAAUAUUAGUUCGAGCAAGUCCUUGAAUUCUAAAUCUGAUGUUAUUUUACUAUGGAUAGAAAAUACUGUUACAGCUUGGAGAGCACUUAAAAAUGGUUCCACGAACAUGGAUGUCCUGGUAGCAUUGGGAACUUCAGCUUCUUACUUUUAUUCUGUCUGUGCUGCUAUAUGGUGCAGUAACUGGAUUUUGGUCACCUAGGUACUUUGCAACAAGUGCAAUGCUGAUAACAUUUGUACUGCUAGGGAAAUACUUGGAAACUCUUGCUAAAGGAAAAACAUCAGAUGCUAUAAAGAAGUUGGUGGAACUAGCACCAGCAAUAGCUUUUAUUCUUCUCAAAGACAAGGGUAUGCUACCUUUACAUAAUUUGAAGGUUUCAGAUGCAUUUUAUUUUUUUAGGAAAAUUGAGAUUCUUUUCUGUUUUCUUACACUUUAUGUCUUGAGUUUAUGUUUGAAUUAAAACCUUUUUGCAUGUUUCGGAACUGUGUGCAUGUGUCUAGGUGGUGUGCAUAUGCCGUGUUCAGAAGGAUGUAUGGCAUUAGGUAUAGUUUUUGGUAAAAUAGCAACUAUCAGCAACUGAACCCAAGCAGUCAAAAUGGCUUCAAUGUGUGCAUAUUGUUUGAGCAGUCUAUACGUGUUGUACUUGGUAGCCAUUUGGUCUAAUAUUAGUUCGAGCAAGUCCUUGAAUUCUAAAUCUGAUGGUAUUUUACUAUGGAUAGCAAAUACUGUUAUUUGUGGUACAUGACAGAGUGAGUGUUAUUACCUCUACAUGGCUCUCUCCUUUUUCCAUGCAUUAUGAUAAAGUUUGAUUUACUUUCCUUUUUGUAAUGUUCAUUUCCUUUUUUUCUUUACCAGUUUCAGGAUUGACUCUGAUGAAGCAUUGUUGAGAAGUGGAAAGUGACCUGUUUUAACAGUUCUUUCUGCUGGCCAAGCUUUGCAUGUUUUCAUCAACGGUCAACUAACAGGUAUGCAGCUGGUUUAGAACAUUAAGGUUGUAUUUGAUGAACUUGUAAUAAUUUCAUUUAGGAUGACACUCAAUAUUAAUGCUACUCCAGUAACUUAUUCUACUCCAGUAAAGGGAAUUAGUUGACAGACAGUAUGACAUUGAAACAUUUGCAGCUAAUUAGAGCCAGACACUUGAUUUAUCAUAUUUUCUCAAAGUUUCAGAUAUUGGACAAGUUUGGGGUUGGGGUUGGUAUUAUGGAGGUGAAGGACAGCUUGGUUUGGGAUCCCGGAUACGUAUGGUGUCAUCUCUUCAUCCUGUACCUUGCAUUGAAUCGUCUUCAUUAGGAAAAGAGAGAUCUUCAGUCAUAUCUCGAGGAAACAUGAGUUCUGAGGGAGAGGGUUUUAGAGUUCCUGGAAGCUACGUGAUAGGAAUUGCUUAUGGAGGACGGCACAGUGCAGUAAUUACAGGUAAGCAUUCUGUGAUUUGUCUUUAAAUGACUGGGAAAUAAAAUAAUUAGCUGAUUAUCUAAUUAAUGUAAAGCUAUAUAUUUAAUAAAGCUAUAAAAAUAUAUUUUGCCAGCAUGAUGAUAUAUGCUCUUCUUCUUUUUUUGGGUGCAUAUUUAUAAUUGGUUGAGUGUGUGAUAAAUCUAAGAUGUAUUCAGUUGUGCACCCUUAUUUGGUUUCUUCAGUUGUGUUACAUAUUAAUUACCAUAUCCUUUGAUCAUAGUGGAUUUUUGCAUCCACAGAUGCUGGAGCAUUGCUUGCAUUUGGCUGGGGACUUUAUGGACAGGUGAGUUCAUUAUUUAAUUUGUUGUCAAAUGUAUAUAUACAUACUAAUUUUAUGUUUUUUUUUUCUGGCUAUGAUUGCAGUAACUAUUAUGGUAAACAAAAAUCUAUUAUUUGUUUUUUUGGACAGAUUCAUAAUUUAUCUUCACGUCUCUUUACUUUUGACAGGAACUGUCUACGGAAGUAUAGAAAACCCAAAAAUAACUCUUGGUUGUGGUGUAUAUAAGAGCUGGGAUUAACAAGAUUUCACUUUUAAGCAUUUGAUUAUAUAGUUGAUUUCUUGUAUUGGCUGAGGCACCUGUUCCAGCAGCUCUAGGAGAAACCAUGGACAUCAUGACAACAAAUAAAAUACAAUGGUAAACGUAUGGUAUUAUUGGGAUGUAUUUUGAAUGGUUGAUACAUUUUGGCUUGAAAUGAUAAUUUAGAGUUUUUUUAGCUAUAUAUCAUGGCAUUAGCAGUCCUACAAACAUUGCAGGUGCACCAUUGUGUAUGUAAUUUCAAAUAUAGGUGAACUAAAAACAGUUAUUAUAUGCAUGAAUUACAAUAUUUUUAAGUUUUUAUACAACGUUUUAAAAAUGUUGUAUAAAUUUGUCUAAAUAGAUGACACCUUCUAAACGUUGUAUAAAUGAGUGUAUAUGUUGUCUGAUGUAUCAAACUACGACAUUUUAAGACAAAACGUUGUGGAAUCAUACCAUCUACAACGUUUUCAAGCAUUCAAUGAAUUCUGAAAAAUAAAUAUACAACGUUUUUUAAGAAAAAAAUGUUGUAAAUGUGACAAACCACAACGUUUUAAAAACGUUGUAUAAAGGGUGUCAAAUAGAUGACACCCUUAACCACGAUGUUUCUGGGAUACAAACCACAAUGUUUUUUACGCGUUAUCUAUUUACUGUUUUGUAGUAGUGAGAGGAGCAUGCAAAAAAUCCUGUUAGAGUUGUCUGCUGAUCCUUUGCUCUGCUCUGUUCAAUAUUGCAGCUAUUGGUUCAGAAAGGUUAUAGCAGACGUGAUGUUUUCCCUCUAGGUGAACUGCCAGACGUAUAACCGGAGGGAACUCUUGAUGCGUAGGAUAUCUAAAUAUCCAUCAUGAUGCCUUUGUAGGUCCAAUGUACCUUGAGUUAAUAUACUGCUUAAUCUCAUCUACGGCUCCCAAUACCACAGUUGUAUGAUCGUAACCCUUGUAGAUGUAUUUAUUGAUAUACUUUACGCACCUUAAUCCUGCACAAACUUCCACAUUUAUAUGGCAACUAAACAAUUUAGAGAGGUAUGAAUUAUAUGGUACAACGUCUAUUACCAACUUUAUGUCGAGACCUUAGAGACUGCUUUCGACCGUCAUUGCGCCUUUGAUAUAUCGGAUACCCAUCUUCGCCCAUUGUAGUUUCUUCUGCCCAAUAUUUAGGAUAUCUCUUAGUGUAUUUACCAUCUUCCAUACAUGGUGAAUUAAGAUUUUGAACACUACAUGGUCCAUGUACCAUGCAAGUUUUAAUUGUUUCAUAUAGAAGUGGAUCAUAAAUUGGAUCGGGGAAUUCGGCACAAAUAACUCGAUUUACUUGUUCACGUGUUAGCAUUUUAUCAGGCCCUUGAAGAAAUAUUAGCAAGUGCAUGUGCGGCAACCCACACUUUUGGAAUUCAAUCAUGAAAACAUGUCCCACCUUUGCACCAAAUAUUUUCUUCUUAUCAAUCUUCAUCAUCAAAGCUUGUCGCUUCAACUCAAAUACGCGGGCCACCAAGUCUAGGCGGUCAAUUAACGUUUGAUGUGGUAACAGUGCAUCUUUUAUCUUAGGCCAAUUCAGAUUUGCCGUCAUAGUUAAGAAAAUAUCAGGGUGUUGGUUAUACCGAGUUAUGACCAUAGAAUCUUGGAAGAUUUCAAACAUUUGCCUUGGACUCCCAGAAAAAGAAGAAGGCAAAACUACUCUUUUACCAACUUGAUUAGCCUCUAACCCAUCAGGAACUACGUCAACCAGAUCUUAGUAUAGAUCAGAUUGUAAUUUUUGUUAGUUGAGCCUAUAAUAUGUUAAUUGAUUCUGCUCUGUUGCCAUCCAUGCAUCUACAAUAAACUCUUGAAAUAAUCUUCCGCCCCUCAAGAUAGUUGAAUACUCAGUAGGUCUUUCAAACAAACGAUAUCCAUAAUAUUGCAAUUGCGUAAGUCUUUUUGAUGAAGCUUUACCUUGAUUGACAUCCCACUGCUUAAAAUUUGGUUCCCAUCCAAGCUCACCAUACGGAAACAACAAUACGUAAUGUAGUGGUAAAUAAGCUAGAUGGCAUUCAUUUAUCUUCAUCAACUGGUCACUCCCUCUUAACCGUACAAUAAU
This 8848-nucleotide long non-coding RNA is filed under the name Panax ginseng (ginseng). Its description in RNAcentral is "long non-coding RNA (PGIN_LNC012194)". The record is from RNAcentral. Lineage: Eukaryota; Viridiplantae; Streptophyta; Magnoliopsida; Apiales; Araliaceae.